AAAUUGAAGAGUUUGAUCAUGGCUCAGAUUGAACGCUGGCGGCAGGCCUAACACAUGCAAGUCGAACGGUAACAGGAAUCAGCUUGCUGAUUCGCUGACGAGUGGCGGACGGGUGAGUAAUGUCUGGGAAACUGCCCGAUGGAGGGGGAUAACUACUGGAAACGGUAGCUAAUACCGCAUAACGUCGCAAGACCAAAGAGGGGGACCUUCGGGCCUCUUGCCAUCGGAUGUGCCAGAUGGGAUUAGCUAGUAGGUGGGGUAAAGGCUCACCUAGGCGACGAUCCCUAGCUGGUCUGAGAGGAUGACCAGCCACACUGGAACUGAGACACGGUCCAGACUCCUACGGGAGGCAGCAGUGGGGAAUAUUGCACAAUGGGCGCAAGCCUGAUGCAGCCAUGCCGCGUGUAUGAAGAAGGCCUUCGGGUUGUAAAGUACUUUCAGCGGGGAGGAAGGGAGUAAAGUUAAUACCUUUGCUCAUUGACGUUACCCGCAGAAGAAGCACCGGCUAACUCCGUGCCAGCAGCCGCGGUAAUACGGAGGGUGCAAGCGUUAAUCGGAAUUACUGGGCGUAAAGCGCACGCAGGCGGUUUGUUAAGUCAGAUGUGAAAUCCCCGGGCUCAACCUGGGAACUGCAUCUGAUACUGGCAAGCUUGAGUCUCGUAGAGGGGGGUAGAAUUCCAGGUGUAGCGGUGAAAUGCGUAGAGAUCUGGAGGAAUACCGGUGGCGAAGGCGGCCCCCUGGACGAAGACUGACGCUCAGGUGCGAAAGCGUGGGGAGCAAACAGGAUUAGAUACCCUGGUAGUCCACGCCGUAAACGAUGUCGACUUGGAGGUUGUGCCCUUGAGGCGUGGCUUCCGGAGCUAACGCGUUAAGUCGACCGCCUGGGGAGUACGGCCGCAAGGUUAAAACUCAAAUGAAUUGACGGGGGCCCGCACAAGCGGUGGAGCAUGUGGUUUAAUUCGAUGCAACGCGAAGAACCUUACCUGGUCUUGACAUCCACGGAAGUUUUCAGAGAUGAGAAUGUGCCUUCGGGAACCGUGAGACAGGUGCUGCAUGGCUGUCGUCAGCUCGUGUUGUGAAAUGUUGGGUUAAGUCCCGCAACGAGCGCAACCCUUAUCCUUUGUUGCCAGCGGUCCGGCCGGGAACUCAAAGGAGACUGCCAGUGAUAAACUGGAGGAAGGUGGGGAUGACGUCAAGUCAUCAUGGCCCUUACGACCAGGGCUACACACGUGCUACAAUGGCGCAUACAAAGAGAAGCGACCUCGCGAGAGCAAGCGGACCUCAUAAAGUGCGUCGUAGUCCGGAUUGGAGUCUGCAACUCGACUCCAUGAAGUCGGAAUCGCUAGUAAUCGUGGAUCAGAAUGCCACGGUGAAUACGUUCCCGGGCCUUGUACACACCGCCCGUCACACCAUGGGAGUGGGUUGCAAAAGAAGUAGGUAGCUUAACCUUCGGGAGGGCGCUUACCACUUUGUGAUUCAUGACUGGGGUGAAGUCGUAACAAGGUAACCGUAGGGGAACCUGCGGUUGGAUCACCUCCUUACCUUAAAGAAGC
This 1553-nucleotide ribosomal RNA is filed under the name Escherichia coli. RNAcentral describes it as "bacterial SSU rRNA". It matches the Rfam family "Bacterial small subunit ribosomal RNA". The record is from RNAcentral. Lineage: Bacteria; Pseudomonadati; Pseudomonadota; Gammaproteobacteria; Enterobacterales; Enterobacteriaceae.